RNAcentral lists this long non-coding RNA (1077 nucleotides) under Capsella grandiflora. Its description in RNAcentral is "long non-coding RNA (CGRA_LNC000700)". Lineage: Eukaryota; Viridiplantae; Streptophyta; Magnoliopsida; Brassicales; Brassicaceae. The record is from RNAcentral.
UGUGUUGAUUUUUUGUGCUUUUACAGGUUGCGUUGCUGUUUUCCAAUACUGGUUAGAUAAAAAGGUAUCAAGGAUGGAAAUGGAAGACAAAUACACACAUACAACAGAGCUGUAAUCAUUAUUAUAAAUUAUAAGAAUUGAACUGCAUCAUGUCAUCAUACAUGCUCUAUUAAUGUUUGCAUAAUAAUGAAAACUAGCAUAAACAAGCAAACUUGCAACAAAACGCUUUAGUCACUCGAUCGAUCGGAUUCAUCCUUCUUCGUGGGUUCCUUCACAGGCUUCACAGAACAGCCUAAAUAUCUGAAACAUGGGAGGGGGGACAUGUACACAGCUUAUAAUUAAUAAGAUCGAGCCUGAUGAUUUUGAUAUUUAUGCAUGUAAUCUGAUGAGAACGUACUCUCAUAUAUAUAUAUAUAGCAUCUGUGAUGAAACUUAAUUACCACACCUUAAUAAAAGCUUAAAAUUAAAACAAAGCAUAGAAGAAAACAAAAUCCAGUAGUGAACUAUAUAUACCUCUUCAUUUAUGUUGCUAAUACGGUCUGUCCUGCGGGUUAUUUCUUUUUCUAUUUCAUCCUCCCUCUUCUGGUUUCGCCUAAGAGUUCUCCAUUCUGAAGGUGGUAGCAACACAACCCAACACAGCGAUCGAUCAGCAAAUAUAUAUAUAUAUGAUAUCAAUGUUUUCUUGUAGAGCAAACCAAACCAAACAAAGACGACAGAUUCAGAUAAAUUAAUUACCCAAAAGCAUGUAGCCAAUAAAUCCAACAUAACCUGGAAGGGCAUAUCCUACGUAACCCUGCAAAUAUCUACUUUGCUGCAGUUUUCCAUCCAUGUCAGCCAAUUUUAGAUUAGAUCAUACAGUAACAAAAAUAUAUAUGAUAACUCAAAAAUUGAAUAAUAGUCUCGAUUACUGGGAAAAUCCGAUUCCACAUUUCUUCUCCUCUUUGACUGGAAAAAUUAGGGUUUGCUCUUCUUCUUUUGAGGUUUCUACUACUCCCGCGACGUUAUUGUUUGCCUUCCUCUUUUUAAUCCCCAACCAGGGGGGCCUCAUAUUUUUAACUUGGGCUUCGCUUCGAAUUG